Non-coding RNA from Pelobates cultripes (western spadefoot toad), 227 nucleotides. The record is from the annotation of a GenBank genome assembly. Lineage: Eukaryota; Metazoa; Chordata; Amphibia; Anura; Pelobatidae.
GCUGUGUGUGUCUGGGUGCGCUGUGUGUGUCUGGGUGCGCUGUGUGUGUCUGGGUGCGCUGUGUGUGUGUUUGGGUGCGUUGUGUGUGUGUUUGGGUGCUGUGUGUCUCUGAGGGUGCUGUGUGUGUCUGAGUGCUGUGUGUCUGAGUGCUGUGUGUGUCUGGGUACUGUCUGUGUCUGGGUGCUGUCUGUGUCUGGGUGCUGUGUGUGUCUGGGUGCUGUGUGUGU